UUAGGAAUCUUCGGCAAUGGGGGCAACCCUGACCGAGCGACACUGCGUGGAGGAUGAAGGUUUUCGGAUCGUAAACUCCUGAACGAGGGACGAAAAAUGACGGUACCUCGCUAAUAGCACCGGCUAACUCCGUGCCAGCAGCCGCGGUAGUACGGAGGGUGCGAGCGUUAUCCGGAAUCACUGGGCGUAAAGGGCGCGUAGGCGGUUUGUUAAGUCCGAUGUCAAAGCGUGAGGCUCAACCUCAUACAGGCGUUGGAUACUGGCGAGCUGGACGGUUGGAGAGGAAGGUAGAAUUACCAGUGUAGCGGUGGAAUGCGUAGAUACUGGUAGGAAUACCCAUUGCGAAGGCAGCCUUCUGGACAACACGUGACGCUGAGGCGCGAAAGUGUGGGGAGCAAA
RNAcentral lists this ribosomal RNA (399 nucleotides) under uncultured bacterium. Its description in RNAcentral is "bacterial SSU rRNA". It matches the Rfam family "Bacterial small subunit ribosomal RNA", at positions 355 to 772 of the family's 1533-position model. The record is from RNAcentral.